RNAcentral lists this ribosomal RNA (253 nucleotides) under uncultured bacterium. RNAcentral describes it as "partial 16S ribosomal RNA". It matches the Rfam family "Bacterial small subunit ribosomal RNA", at positions 524 to 776 of the family's 1533-position model. The record is from RNAcentral.
UACAGAGGGUGCGAGCGUUAAUCGGAAUUACUGGGCGUAAAGCGCGCGUAGGCGGCUUGUUAAGUCGGAUGUGAAAUCCCUGGGCUCAACCUAGGCAUUGCAUUCGAUACUGGCAAGCUAGAGUAUGGGAAAGGAAGGUAGAAUUCCAGGUGUAGCGGUGAAAUGCGUAGAGAUCUGGAGGAAUACCGAUGGCGAAGGCAGCCUUCUGGCCUAAUACUGACGCUGAGGUGCGAAAGCAUGGGGAGCAAACAGG